GGGUUGGCUUGUAGAGCCAAUAGAAGUACAGAGGGGACUUAAAAUCUCCUGUCCGCAAGGACGUGAGGGUUCGACUCCCUCUCGCCCCAC
Molecule: transfer RNA, 90 nt
Filed under: Dictyobacter alpinus
Lineage: Bacteria; Bacillati; Chloroflexota; Ktedonobacteria; Ktedonobacterales; Dictyobacteraceae
Description: tRNA-Leu
Source: RNAcentral